Molecule: unclassified non-coding RNA, 372 nt
Filed under: Moritella viscosa
Lineage: Bacteria; Pseudomonadati; Pseudomonadota; Gammaproteobacteria; Alteromonadales; Moritellaceae
Description: putative sRNA
Source: RNAcentral
CAAAAAUUGCUAUGUAAUUGAGUAUAUUAAUAUUAAUUUUAGGCUGCAAGAUAAACUUGACGGCCUUUUGGCAAUUCGAGACUGCUUUCAGAAAAAUGCCAAUAACACUGUAUAAAAUCAUCCAAUCUAACCGUUUUCACUAUGCAUAAAUAUGAUCAACUCAGUUGGUAAAUUUUGCAUGAUAAAAUGUAUAGAAAGUCGAUAUGAGUAUAUUGUGGGUGAGCAGUUACUCUGAGCCAAAAAGGGGCAAUUUUUGAGUUAGCUAGGCUAGCUAACUCGUUCGUGGACAGAAACGGCUUAGAGCUUAAACUUCAAAGGUUCUAGUUCGCAUUACAUAAAAUAUAAUGAAAUUGAGAUUAAUGCCUUGCUAAG